This 571-nucleotide long non-coding RNA is filed under the name Mytilus galloprovincialis (Mediterranean mussel). Lineage: Eukaryota; Metazoa; Mollusca; Bivalvia; Mytilida; Mytilidae. The record is from RNAcentral.
UUGUUACACAGGUUCUUCUGACAAAUGACUGAUAAACCCAUCUUGUAUCCUUGUAUCUACUAAAAGGGUGUUUGAGAAUAUAUACAAUAUAUUCAAGUUUCAGAGAGUCAGUCUGAUAUAAAAUGUUGGUAAGUGUCUUCUUUGGAAGUGUUCAAAAACCUGUAAGAACUUGAACUUCCAUGACUAUUUUAAUGUUACAACAGUAGAGGAACAUGGAAUAUUGAACGGUAUUCAAGAACUCGUCGAAAUAGAUCUGCAAUCAUUAAUUUUACUCAUAUUUACUAUUGUGAACUUGCAAUUUCCUACGAUGCGCGUACCGAGUUAUCUCCCUUUGAUCUCCGCUUCGCCACGAAUAAUCUGACAGAAUUGCGUAUCCGGGGUUUUUGUGAUCUGAUAUUGUAAUAUUAGGAGCAAAAAAUGGUUUUACUUCAUAUUUUAUACCUCUCAACACGUUACCAAACCUAUUUAAGGAUUUAUUAAGGAUUUUCCGUGGACCUACGCAAAUUUUCAGAAAAAAAGUUUCACUUCGCUCGUGAAUUUAUAACAUUUUAACAAUACUUUUUUAUUAUAA